UACGGAGGGGGCGAGCGUUAUUCGGAAUUAUUGGGCGUAAAGGGCGCGUAGGCGGCCUUGUAAGUCAAAGGUGAAAUCCCUCGGCUCAACUGAGGAACUGCCUUUGAAACUGCAAGGCUUGAGGCCGGGAGGGGGUAGCGGAAUUCCCAAUGUAGCGGUGAAAUGCGUAGAUAUUGGGAGGAACACCAGUGGCGAAGGCAGGUCUCUGGGCCACUACUGACGCUGAGAAGCGAAAGCAUGGGGAGCGAACAGG
This 253-nucleotide ribosomal RNA is filed under the name uncultured bacterium. RNAcentral's name for it is "partial 16S ribosomal RNA". It matches the Rfam family "Bacterial small subunit ribosomal RNA", at positions 524 to 776 of the family's 1533-position model. The record is from RNAcentral.